RNAcentral lists this transfer RNA (64 nucleotides) under Fukomys damarensis (Damara mole-rat). It matches the Rfam family "tRNA", at positions 5 to 66 of the family's 71-position model. Rfam says of the family: Transfer RNA (tRNA) molecules are approximately 80 nucleotides in length. The record is from Rfam by way of RNAcentral. Lineage: Eukaryota; Metazoa; Chordata; Mammalia; Rodentia; Bathyergidae.
AUGUAGCUCAGUGGUAAAGCACUUGCCUUACAGGUAUGUAGGCCCUAGGUUCAAGUCCCAGCAU